Molecule: ribosomal RNA, 373 nt
Filed under: uncultured eukaryote
Lineage: Eukaryota
Description: partial 18S ribosomal RNA
Rfam family: Eukaryotic small subunit ribosomal RNA
Source: RNAcentral
CAAUAGCGUAUAUUUAAGUUGUUGCAGUUAAAAAGCUCGUAGUUGGAUUUCGGUUGAGAACGGCCGGUCCGCCGUUUGGUGUGCACUGGCUGGUUUCAACUUCCUGUAGAGGACGUGCUCUGGCUUCACGGCUGGACGCGGAGUCUACGUGGUUACUUUGAAAAAAUUAGAGUGUUCAAAGCGGGCUUACGCUUGAAUAUUUCAGCAUGGAAUAACACUAUAGGACUCCUGUCCUAUUUCGUUGGUCUCGGGACGGGAGUAAUGAUUAAGAGGAACAGUUGGGGGCAUUCGUAUUUCAUUGUCAGAGGUGAAAUUCUUGGAUUUAUGAAAGACGAGCUUCUGCGAAAGCAUUUGCCAAGGAUGUUUUCAUUAA